Molecule: ribosomal RNA, 799 nt
Filed under: uncultured Staphylococcus sp.
Lineage: Bacteria; Bacillati; Bacillota; Bacilli; Caryophanales; Staphylococcaceae
Description: bacterial SSU rRNA
Rfam family: Bacterial small subunit ribosomal RNA
Source: RNAcentral
AGCGAACGGACGAGAAGCUUGCUUCUCUGAUGUUAGCGGCGGACGGGUGAGUAACACGUGGAUAACCUACCUAUAAGACUGGGAUAACUUCGGGAAACCGGAGCUAAUACCGGAUAAUAUUUUGAACCGCAUGGUUCAAAAGUGAAAGACGGUCUUGCUGUCACUUAUAGAUGGAUCCGCGCUGCAUUAGCUAGUUGGUAAGGUAACGGCUUACCAAGGCAACGAUGCAUAGCCGACCUGAGAGGGUGAUCGGCCACACUGGAACUGAGACACGGUCCAGACUCCUACGGGAGGCAGCAGUAGGGAAUCUUCCGCAAUGGGCGAAAGCCUGACGGAGCAACGCCGCGUGAGUGAUGAAGGUCUUCGGAUCGUAAAACUCUGUUAUUAGGGAAGAACAUAUGUGUAAGUAACUGUGCACAUCUUGACGGUACCUAAUCAGAAAGCCACGGCUAACUACGUGCCAGCAGCCGCGGUAAUACGUAGGUGGCAAGCGUUAUCCGGAAUUAUUGGGCGUAAAGCGCGCGUAGGCGGUUUUUUAAGUCUGAUGUGAAAGCCCACGGCUCAACCGUGGAGGGUCAUUGGAACGGAAACUGAGUGCAGAAGAGGAAAGUGGAUUCCAUGUGUAGCGGUGAAAUGCGCAGAGAUAUGGAGGAACACCAGUGGCGAAGGCGACUUUCUGGUCUGUAACUGACGCUGAUGUGCGAAAGCGUGGGGAUCAAACAGGAUUAGAUACCCUGGUAGUCCACGCCGUAAACGAUGAGUGCUAAGUGUUAGGGGGUUUCCGCCCCUUAGUGCUGCA